This is a long non-coding RNA of Symphalangus syndactylus (siamang), 552 nucleotides long. RefSeq lists it as uncharacterized. The record is from RefSeq and is a predicted model, not a curated record. NCBI's taxonomy places the organism in Eukaryota, Metazoa, Chordata, Mammalia, Primates, Hylobatidae.
GUGGAACAAGGCUAUCUGAGAGCGGUUCUCCCUGGCCCUCCCGGUCAUGGAAUGGCGUAACUGGAACCGACGCUUAUGGAACAAGGGAUGGAGACAAAAACCUAAUUGGUGACCAAGAGUGGUGGCUUUUGCCUGGAAUCCCAGCACAUUGGGAGGCCGAAGCAGGAGGAUCACUUGAGGCCAGGAGUUUGACACGGGCCUGGGCAACAUAGCAAGACCCUCACCUCUAUUACAAGUAUAAGAAAUAUGCCAGACGCGGUGGCUCAUGCCUGUAAUCCCAGCACUUUAGAAGGCUGAAGCGGGUGGAUCGCUUGAGACCAGGAGUUGGAGACCAGCCUGGUCAACAUGGAGAAACCCCAUCCCUACGAAAAAUACAAAAAUCAUCCUGGUGUGGUAGCAUAUGCGUUAUUCGUAUCUCCUCAAGAGGCUGAAGCAUAGGAAUUGUGUGAACCCAGGAGGCGGAGGUUGCAGUGAGUCGAGAUUGGGCCACUCCAUUCUCCAGUCAGAGCAAGACUCUGUCUCAAUAAAUAAAUAAAUAAAUAAAUAAACAAA